Molecule: unclassified non-coding RNA, 328 nt
Filed under: soil metagenome
Description: partial contains 5.8S ribosomal RNA, internal transcribed spacer 2, and large subunit ribosomal RNA
Rfam family: 5.8S ribosomal RNA (bases 1-120)
Source: RNAcentral
GAUGAAGAACGUAGCGAAAUGCGAUAAGUAGUGUGAAUUGCAGAAUUCAGUGAAUCAUCGAAUCUUUGAACGCACAUUGCGCCCCUUGGUAUUCCAUGGGGCAUGCCUGUUCGAGCGUCAUUUGUACCUUCAAGCUCAGCUUGGUGUUGGGGCCUGCUGCACUGGCAGCCCUUAAAAUCAGUGGCGGCGCCAUCUGGCUCUAAGCGUAGUAAUUCUUCUCGCUAUGGAGUCCUGGUGGAUGCUUGCCAUCAACCCCCAAUUUUUCUAUGGUUGACCUCGGAUCAGGUAGGGAUACCCGCUGAACUUAAGCAUAUCAAUAAGCGGAGGA